CCAGUUCCCUGUGAGGGCCGGGGCAAAGGCCAGAAAGGAAACAUUAGCAAUGGCCCAGCGACUCAUGCCCAACAUGAGGUGAAUCAAGAAUUAAAUUUGAAAUGUGAUCCUGACCCGAAGAUGUUCUCCCUCCUUCUGAGAACAGUGUCCUCUCACUUCUCUAGGCUCUUUGGAAUCAGGAGGAGCUGGCUGCUUCAGCUGAAUCGCUGAAAAUGAAACUUUUAACAGACAAUAAUGAUAAUGAAGAUGAUAAUAUUAAUAUCCACUAUCUUCUAUUCACCAGGCCCUGUCCGGCUUUCUCACCAUCAUCGCCCUACUGAGAAACCCAGGGACAUACCAGGAACUGCUUCCACACAAGUGUUUUGCCAGCAGCCAUUGGUGAUCAAGGACUAGAUCCAUUAAUUCACUGCUUUUUCAAAGGCAAAAAACUUUUCCACAUUUCUUUAAACAUGGGCUGUCCUGUGCCACUUCUAAAAGAACAUAAUUGAAGCCUGGUUCUCUACAGAAACCAUUGCCACCUUAUAUUGUCCAGGGGUGAAUUUAGAGGAGUGACAUCAACAUCAUGGCAGCGUGAGCUUUCCCAGUAAUCUCUCCCUUCCACCAUACAACAAAAAAGACAUUCAUACUCCAACAGAGGACAUCCAAACACCACACAAAAGCUGUCUGAGUGACCCAUGCAGCCAUACGAUGGAGGGCAGAGAGGCUGGAGCCCCCCUUCGAGGAGGUGGAAUGGGGGACGGUUUUAUUCCAGGAACCACUCAGCUGACCCGGAAAGACAUCCUCUACAGACUACAAUCUUCAAAAGCAAAGUGCAUUAUUACCAAUGAAGUUUUAGCCCCAGCAGUAGAUGCUGUUGCAUCUAAAUGUGAAAAUCUGCACUCCAAGCUAAUUGUGUCUCAGAACCCCAGAGAGGGGUGGGGGAACCUCAAGGAGAUGAUCAAGUGAGUAGUCAUAACUGUUGCAGAACAGCUUCCCCAAAAGAAAGGCAAAUUGAAAAGUUACUCAACCCACAAGUGAUCAGGAAAAUGAAAAUUAAAACAAUAGACAAAGGGAAUUGGUGAUUAUUUCUGCACUAAUAGUGCAAAGCUCUGAGGCAGGAAGCAGCUUGGAGUGCUUUCGUAUGUUGGGAUUUCUAGGAAGCACACCCUGAGACAGAGAUUACUUGUGUAAGAAGUUUAUUAAGGAUUCCUUUUGGGAUCAACACCUGUGAAGGAAGGGGAACGAUGUGGAAUUGGGCAGAGGAAGAAAUUUAUCAGCCGUGAACUCCCCAAAAAGCCCUCAGCCAACCCAUUGGGACCUCUGGACUUUGGAUAGGCCCUGAAAGUUAUUCCAAGAUAAAGAGAUCCUGCCCUUUACAUGCCCACACUAAUCAGUAAUUAGUGCAGGCUGUCCGUUGAAGGUGGCGUAACCUUGAGCAAGGCAGCUCUCUUCAGCCAACGCCAUCUUUAAAGAGGGCUCCGUGUGGUUUUUAUGCCUCAUUUUGUUAAUGUGGUGUAUCACACUGAAUGAUUUGCGAAUGUCGACCCAUCCCUGUGUCUCUGGUAUAAAUCCCACUUGAUCAUGGUG
Non-coding RNA from Equus caballus (horse), 1566 nucleotides. Lineage: Eukaryota; Metazoa; Chordata; Mammalia; Perissodactyla; Equidae. The record is from RefSeq and is a predicted model, not a curated record.